AGUGAACGCUGGCGGUAGGCCUAACACAUGCAAGUCGAACGGCAGCACAGUAAGAUCUUGCUCUUACGGGUGGCGAGUGGCGGACGGGUGAGGAAUACAUCGGAAUCUACUUUUUCGUGGGGGAUAACGUAGGGAAACUUACGCUAAUACCGCAUACGACCUACGGGUGAAAGCAGGGGAUCUUCGGACCUUGCGCGAUUGAAUGAGCCGAUGUCGGAUUAGCUAGUUGGCGGGGUAAAGGCCCACCAAGGCGACGAUCCGUAGCUGGUCUGAGAGGAUGAUCAGCCACACUGGAACUGAGACACGGUCCAGACUCCUACGGGAGGCAGCAGUGGGGAAUAUUGGACAAUGGGCGCAAGCCUGAUCCAGCCAUACCGCGUGGGUGAAGAAGGCCUUCGGGUUGUAAAGCCCUUUUGUUGGGAAAGAAAAGCAGCAGGUUAAUACCCCGCUGUUCUGACGGUACCCAAAGAAUGAGCACCGGCUAACUUCGUG
Molecule: ribosomal RNA, 492 nt
Filed under: uncultured bacterium
Lineage: Bacteria
Description: partial 16S ribosomal RNA
Rfam family: Bacterial small subunit ribosomal RNA
Source: RNAcentral